This 374-nucleotide ribosomal RNA is filed under the name uncultured bacterium. RNAcentral describes it as "bacterial SSU rRNA". It matches the Rfam family "Bacterial small subunit ribosomal RNA", at positions 524 to 898 of the family's 1533-position model. The record is from RNAcentral.
UACGUAGGCAGCAAGCGUUGUUCGGAAUUACUGGGCGUAAAGGGUGCGUAGGCGGCGCUCUAAGUUUGGUGUGAAAUCUCCCGGCUUAACCGGGAGGGUGCACUGAAAACUGGGGCGCUUGAGUAUGGGAGAGGAAAGCGGAAUUCCUGGUGUAGCGGUGAAAUGCGUAGAGAUCAGGAGGAACACCCGCGGUGUAGACGGCUUUCUGGACCAUGACUGACGCUGAGGCACGAAAGCGUGGGGAGCAAACAGGAUUAGAUACCCUGGUAGUCCACGCCCUAAACGAUGCAUACUUGGUGUGGGUUCUUCACUGGAUCCGUGCCGGAGUUAACGCGUUAAGUAUGCCGCCUGGGGAGUACGGUCGCAAGGCUGAA